CAAAUGGACCAAGACACCUGCUGUUCCUUACUUGUUUGUCUGCUGCUCUGAAAGGACAAUCAAUGCGAAGACAAAUGUGUUUACCUUGAGGAGGCUAGAAACAUACAAAAUGCCUGCUGAGCUCAAAUGUGUGGACUUGCUUCCUCCCCAUAAGGAAGCAGGACCCUCUGGUCUGAACUAUAAACUGAGCUCAAUUGUUGCAGGGGAAACUGCAGUGAAGGCGAAACACAUGUCUGAGUCACAGAAGCACACAGAUUAAGAAGUUUGAUAAAUCAGGUGACUGUGAACAACACAGACUUUAAGCCCUCAAUUCCACUUUUAGACUGUGACGGCGGAGGUAUGGACUCACCCAACCUGACGUUGUAAGAGAAGGGAGACAGAGCAAGAGACAUGGAGAAGAAUUUCCCUGGGCCUUGAACAUGCACAGGAGCAGAAGUUCAGGAUCAGUGAUGCCAGGUCGGAGAUAAGAAGUAGAUGCCAAGAAAUAGAGCUGAAGAAACCAAGGCAUAGAAAGUUUGAAUCUUGGACCCACGAUCACAUAGGAAAUCAGAGGAAACAACAGAAAGCUUGGACGUGCUCUGCCUCUAUCCCUCUCUGUCAGCAGCUCUUGCCAGAGCCCAGUGAUGCUGGCUGCACAUACAAAGGCGCUGCAGAUCAAUUUGUGGUGUUAAAGUGCUCAUGCCCUUUCCGGAGGAGCAUUGCCUUGAAUAUUUAACAGGGCAGAAACCCAUCAGAUUCAAGUUCUCUGGAUGGUGCUCGCCCAACACCUAUGGACAGGCACAAUAUUUCAAUGGUUUCAAGAAGGUAUCCUGGGAGAAGUGAACUGAAAUAUGGAGGAUGCCUUGGAAGAGGAAGGAGCUAGAAGAGAGCAUGGUGAAGUCUGUGGCCAGAGUGCUGUGGAUGGAGAAGGGAUGGAAGGAGGGAAUUCAGAAUUUCAGCGUCCCAGGAAAGCUUCGGUGUGCUAAAAGAGAAUGGAAGCAUUGAGAGCGUUUCACACGGCUCAGGAACCCUCCAAGAGGCGACGCCAGUUCUCCACGACAGUUACCUGUUCAACGGAACUUAACUAACACACCUGUGUAUCAUCCCUGCAACAUACACGGUAAUGAUUUCCUAUUUCUUUGUGGAAAACACAGCUGUUCCAGACUCUUCACAUGUAUCUAGUCCUCCCAAGUCCCAGUGAAAGUCUUCCUUGAGUUCUGCUUACUCCCCAAGAGAGAUCGCUGUGUUUACGGAGCAUCGUGUGUUCAGGCCAAGGUACAAGGAAAGCAAAUGUUCCGAGGAGGUGAUGAGAAAUGACCAGGAAGACACUUCACACUCAGUAGGCUAAGGUAGCCCAAGAUUAGGAAACCUCUAUCUUUCAAGGAAGACUGCUGGGAAACAUCCCAACAUUUACUCCAAAGGGAGGCAUUGCAUCUGUCCUGGUCCUGACCAACAAAUCUUUCCUCUCGUCUGGAGGAAGACACUAGCUCUGUGUUCUAAGGCUGUUUGCAAUACAAAUAUCCUUCAAAGGCUAGAGCAAUACUUGGUACAAGACAGGCAGAAAUGAGAGAGAUGUGUCUUGCUGCAAGGGAGAUGGCAGCAGCAAUGCUGCCGGUGGUGGUAUCUGGUACCCUGUGUCCCAGUGACUGCUCUGAAAUUAGAGCAAGGUGCUGCAGCCAAAACUUCAGCGGAUCUGUCCAGGCCUUCCCAAUUCCCUUUGCGGAGCAGAACUAGCAGCCCAGGAUUCAGCUGUAUUUUCUGAGCCAGCAGAUGAUGUUGGUGGAAGUAAGGAGAAUUCCUCCCUUUUGGAUGGCAGCUCCCCUAAAGAGAUAUGUUAUUGAAGUUAACCUGCAUAGGAAAAGAAACCCUCAGAAGCUUAUUAAAGUGAAGAACAAAAUUGAUGUUUGUCCCGAAUGUAGCCUGAAAGGGAAACAUACCCUUUCAGGUAUGCUAUGAGAAAGUGUGCAAGGAGACUGCAGAAAUCAGAGGACAGAUGGGGAAACCCAGGGGACUGUGGUCCCCCACAGCAGAGACGAUGGCCCUGCAGACGGGAGAGACCCAGUCUGAACACCACUCAGACAAGAGCAAUGUCGACAGAGACAGGAAUAGGCUGUUCUGGUUCACCCAGGACUGACACCAAAGAUGCUGAAAGGAUAACUCCGCAGGAAAAUAUUUCUUGUGAAACAGAGAAGGAAUCUUUGUUUUUAUGUUGUUGUGCUUGUUUUUAAACUAUCAAUCUGGUUUAAAUUGUAACUUGUAAGCAGUUAAUUUUGUGUGGGAUAAUUUGAAGCAUAUAUCAUGGGGGAACCUUGAAAAUGUCUAUGCAAAAGUUCAAUGGAUUAAUGUCUGUUUAUACCACACUGUCCAGUUUCAAAUAAACGUAACAUUUUUCAGAACAACAUUUUUUUAAAAAACUCACCGUAAGAAAAAGAAAGAAACAUGAGAGUUGCAUGGAAGAUUAGCCCCCAAAACUAUUAAUGAAUUGUUAAAAUUGUAUGAGAAAAUUUCCUGUGCAGUAUCUACUAUAGAGAAGAAAAUGAAUACAUUUUUCAUGAGUAAAUGGAUAAAUAAAAGAAUGAAUGAACAUAUGAUAGAUACUGGGAUGCAAAUGACUAGAAAUGUGUAACAUAGAAAAAUGGGAAAAUAGUUAUUACCUUUGGCUCUUGGAUAUGUAAUAUAAAUUUUAUGAAUCUUAUGUUUUUAUAUAUGAAAUAUGAAUCAUAACUCAAAUUCUGAUAAUUGUAUGAGAUUUUGUGUAUGUUUUUAUAUAAAUAUACAUAUUCAUAUAAAUACACAUUUUUAUGUACUUGUGCAUAUAAAUGUAUAGUGUUGCAUGUCACAUAUGAAAAAGGUAAACAGAUGGAUUCUUGCUUUAAAGUAAUAGAAGUAAGUUUGACAAACUUAAGCAGACAAAAGGGAGAAAACAUAGAUUAUCUUAUGAAACUCAGAUGUGAAAAUGUUUGUAGGCUCAAACAAUAUGGGAAAGCUUAUGUUUGACUAGCCAAAUAGAGAGACAGUAUUUCCUGUUGGUUUUAUUUGUACUUCUCGUUGAGGUGAUAGUCCUUGGUCUUCGUGCUUGAUGUUUGCUUUGGAUCAGUCGACUAUAUCCAAGAGCUGGUGCUGGUGGUGGGUGGCAGUGGGGGUGACACAUAGGAAGCUCCCUUCACGAGAAAACUCCUCUCACAAAGGGGAGGAUCAGGAAACUCUUGGACAAGAAGGGUUGACAGUAACCCCAAUAUAGAGUAGGGUUGAGUUGAGUGUCUGCGACUUGCAAACCAGAGUCUUGUGUAACACAGAGUUAUUAAGAAGAGACAGCUGAAUGGGAGUGAUGACCAGAAAUCAAGUUUUAGAAGCAAAGAGCAGUUUGCACAGUGCUAUAUCUGGAAAAGGAGAAAGAAUAAACAUACCCAAAGGAAUAGUUGGUUUUCUUACAUUGAAAUAAGUUGAGAGUGUAACAAGAGCGUGGACAUUUUUCUACGUUCCAUCUUAUUGGCCACUAGAACCCAGUUAAAUUUCAGAGUCUGUGUGAAGGAUGGACAGUAAAGGAGGUGGGUAUGGUAGGUGGACAGAGGAGUGAUGAGAAUUAAUCUUGGAAGAGCAAACAGGAUCCAGAUCAUGCAAAUAGCUGUGAAGCAUGCUUCAAUCUGACCCGUGAACAGUUAGAAGCCAUUUAGUGGAUUAUGUGCGAGAAUGGCAGGAUUCUUUAGGCACUGCUGAAACUUCACCCUCAGAAGCAGUGUAAAGAAUGUGAGAAAGGGACAUUGGAUACAUGGAAGGCCUUCGUGAGUUACUGUGGGAGAGCCGUCAUGAUUGCCUGGGCUAAGCUGGAAUCAGCCAUGAGGGACAGAGUGGAUGGACUCAGAGUCAGCUAGGGAUACUUCCAGGCUCCCAUGCCAAGUAGCUGGCUUGGUGGUUGAUUGAAUGUGAAGGAAAUGAGACCAAGGAGAGGAGGAUGACACAGCCCCAUAUUCACAUCGCAACCCGAGGGAAGGUCUCAAUCCAAGAGAGUGCUGCAGAAUUCCAGGCCUGUUUCUAUACACAGUUCGUUUUGUGCAAAUAUCCCAUGAUGCUUACUUAAUCUCCAAUAGUUUAAGAAGCAAGUGCAUUUAAAAAAUAAACUACAUUAAACUAAAAUAGAUUCCUCUUUUGAGGUAGCAUGAUUUUCAUGAAAAUGCCUGGGAUGGAGAAUGAGGUUGAGGGUGUGCCCUGGUUGAGGCUGUAAAAUAGCUGUGGCAUUCUCAUCUCUCUGGAGUUCAGUUUCUGUUCAUUUUUCAGAGGAAAAGAGAAUCAAAUAGCUGCACUACAAGUUCAUAGAAUUCAUGCAGGUAAAAUGAUGAAAUUUUAGAACGUUAAUUUGUUACUUUCCAGUUUUGUGAUCUUGGGCAAGUCACCCAAAAGUCAUAUUCUUCUUUACCUUUUGAAUCAAGACACUAAUGCAUAUCUUGUAUCUAUUUCUAUUAACUACAUAAGGAAAUCUCAGGAAUGUACUUAGAAAUGAGUAAUAUUAGAAUCAUUUUAAAUAUGAUUAUCUUUUUAUUUUAAAUGAGGAAAUAAAGUUUAGAACAUCGAAAGGUGUUUUAAGGGCUCACAAAUAGUACUCAAGACAGCUGGGCUUAGUUUCAGGUCUUCCUAACCUAAUUCCAGAGUUCAUCCAACAUAGCACAGGAAAUAGACCCAUAAUUUGGAAUAUCAGAGGAGAUACCACUCAAGGACCUGCUUGUCUCCAGGAGCAAAUGGGGAACCAGAGAUUUCCCACCAUGAAUCUCUGACCACACAGGCUUCCUUGGAAUUUUUACUUACCUUGUGUUCAGCAGGUAUAGACAAAAUACAUGAUAGUGUGAUAAUAAUUCAUAGAAGUUUUAAAGUCAGUUCAGAGGCAUCAAGGUAGAAACAAUGCCUUUUUUGUCAGGUAAAGAAAGAGCAGUUUCAACACUAGCAUAGACUUCCAAGCAUGGAUGAUGGAAUGGAAAUUAAUGAUUCAUUUACCAAAAGCCCUCCAGGCAGUAACUUGGAUCAAAUAUAUAGAAAAGAUGAAGCUGGGUCUCUAAUGUGGAUGGCAACUGCUAUUCAUAAUGGUCAAGAGAAAGGCAAUUUCUUGAAGUAAAUUUUGAUCUGUGCUGAGCAAUGGGGCAAAAUGGAAACAUUUGAAUGAUUUAAGAAGUUAAGGGGAAUUGGUCAAAGGAAGAGAAGCAGAUUCUCUUCUUUAAUUAUCUUAACUCACAAAUGGACUGCAUUUAAUUUCAUCUAAACUGGUGGUUUUAUGGAAAGACCACAGAAGUCAGCAUGUAAAGAUCCAGAUCUCAAACUUAGUUUUUUAAGUUGCAUGACCUCAAAUAAGUUGUGUAUACUGUGAGUGUCCAUUUCAUCUUGCAAAAAUGCAGUGGUUGGAUGCCUCUCUUAUUAACAUACAUGUCAAAAUUUUUGUUUAUUAAAUAAAUAAUGCUAA
This is a non-coding RNA of Heterocephalus glaber (naked mole-rat), 5425 nucleotides long. The record is from RefSeq and is a predicted model, not a curated record. Lineage: Eukaryota; Metazoa; Chordata; Mammalia; Rodentia; Bathyergidae.